GAUGUCCUGCGCGGUGCGUGUCGGGCCUUUUUUAUCCUCACAUUUCGUUAUAGGGGAUGUCGGAUCAGUAUGUGGUUUGCAGGCCUCCCGGCUGCCGUAUGCGGCUGGAUGUUGGAAGCAGUAAAGCAAGCUGGAGACAACCCACCUGCCAGGAUGGUGCAGGUUAUAACAUGGUCCGCACGGCCAAGCGGGACAGGA
This 198-nucleotide non-coding RNA is filed under the name Oscillospiraceae bacterium. RNAcentral describes it as "6S RNA". It matches the Rfam family "6S / SsrS RNA". From Rfam's summary of the family: E. coli 6S RNA was the first non coding RNA to be sequenced, but its function was unknown until recently. It consists of 184 nucleotides that fold into an extended hairpin structure with a large single-stranded internal bulge. The record is from RNAcentral. Lineage: Bacteria; Bacillati; Bacillota; Clostridia; Eubacteriales; Oscillospiraceae.